AUUAGGGAAGAACAAAUGAUGGAAAAAUCAUUCUGACGGUACCUAAUGAAUAAGCCCCGGCUAACUAUGUGCCAGCAGCCGCGGUAAUACAUAGGGGGCAAGCGUUAUCCGGAAUUAUUGGGCGUAAAGGGUGCGUAGGCGGUUAAAUAAGUUUAUGGUCUAAGUGCAGUGCUCAACAUUGUGAUGCUAUAAAAACUGUUUAGCUAGAGUAAGAUAGAGGCAAGUGGAAUUCCAUGUGUAGUGGUAGAAUGCGUAAAUAUAUGGAGGAACACCAGUAGCGAAGGCGGCUUGCUGGGUCUUUACUGACGCUGAGGCACGAAAGCGUGGGGAGCAAACAGGAUUAGAUACCCUGGUAGUCCACGCCGUAAACGAUGAGUACUAAACGUUGGGUAAAACCAGUGUUGAAGUUAACACAUUAAGUACUCCGCCUGAGUAGUACGUACGCAAGUAUGAAACUUAAAGGAAUUGACGGGACUCCGCACAAGCGGUGGAUCAUGUUGUUUAAUUCGAAGGUACCCGAAAAACCUCACCAGGUCUUGACAUGCUUCUGCAAAACUGUAGAAACACAGUGGAGGUUAUCAGUUGCACAGGUGGUGCAUGGUUGUCGUCAGCUCGUGUCGUGAGAUGUUGGGUUAAGUCCCGCAACGAGGCAACCUCUAUUGUUAGUUACCAGCACGUAAUGGUGGGGACUUUAGCAAGACUGCCAGUGAUAAAUUGGAGGAAGGUGGGGACGACGUCAAAUCAUCAUGCCCCUUAUGACCUGGGCUACAAACGUGAUACAAUGGCUGUUA
RNAcentral lists this ribosomal RNA (791 nucleotides) under 'Populus nigra' phytoplasma. RNAcentral's name for it is "bacterial SSU rRNA". It matches the Rfam family "Bacterial small subunit ribosomal RNA", at positions 438 to 1239 of the family's 1533-position model. Lineage: Bacteria; Bacillati; Mycoplasmatota; Mollicutes; Acholeplasmatales; Acholeplasmataceae. The record is from RNAcentral.